RNAcentral lists this ribosomal RNA (252 nucleotides) under uncultured bacterium. Its description in RNAcentral is "partial 16S ribosomal RNA". It matches the Rfam family "Bacterial small subunit ribosomal RNA", at positions 1250 to 1500 of the family's 1533-position model. The record is from RNAcentral.
CGAAGUCGUGAGACGGAGCCAAUCCCAGAAAACCGAAUCGUAGUCCGGAUUGCAGUCUGCAACUCGACUGCAUGAAGUCGGAAUCGCUAGUAAUCNCGGAUCAGCAUGCCGCGGUGAAUACGUUCCCGGGUCCUGUACACACCGCCCGUCAAACAAUGGGAGUGGUGUUUACCAGAAGUCGUUAGCCUAACCGCAAGGAGGGCGGCGACCACGGUGAGCACCGUGACUAAUGUUAAGUCGUAACAAGGUACC